GGAAUACGAAGGGAGAAUGAAACAAAACUGCUCCGCUUAGGGAACUUGGAAAGGAAAUUGAAAAGGCAAGGCACAGGCUGGAAGAAAAUAUUUGAAAAAGAUUUAUGUGAACUUCUUUCUGGAUUAUACAAAAUAUUUUUAGAUAUUCUUACAACUCUAAAAUAAGAUAACUCCUUAAAAAUCUAAAUUCUACCAAAGGAGAGAUAAAGAUGACGAAUACAUUCAAAGAUGCUGAAAAUCACUUAUUUAUUAUUAGGAAGUUACAAGCUAAAGCAUAAUGAGAUACCACUACAACCUACUAAACUGACUAAAAUUAAUCAGACUAACCAGGUGUUGGCAAGAAACAGGGACACUGAGACUCUCACACUGCUGGAAGGAAUGUAAAAUGCUAAAACUUCUUUGGAAAUGAGUUCAGUAACUUUUUAAACAGUUGAAAAUAGACCUAUCAUGCAAACCAGCAAUCCCACUUCCAGGUAUUUAUACAAGGAAAAUGACAACAUAUGCCCACAUAAAGACUUGUGCACAAAUGACCGUAGCAGCUUUGUGAUAAUUGCUAAAAACUAGAAACUUGUCAAGUGUCCAACAGGAUCGAAUACCAUAAGAGGAAUUCUGGACUGAAGAGUUAUGAAGUCAUUUCAGACACUUCCAGACAAUUUGUGUUAAUUAAAUUCUCACUGGUUGAGUUCCAUUCUACACUGGAAGAGCAUUUUUCCUGGAAAGGCUCCUCAAAAUGGUAAUAAAGGGUAAUUCUUUUA
This 755-nucleotide long non-coding RNA is filed under the name Homo sapiens (human). RNAcentral describes it as "DAB1 antisense RNA 1". The record is from RNAcentral. Lineage: Eukaryota; Metazoa; Chordata; Mammalia; Primates; Hominidae.